UGUAGGCCACAUGAGGUAUACACGUACACACGAAAAUCGUUAAAUUAGUACAUUCGUCGAUUUGUCGAAAUGCCCUCAAUUUUCCUCAACAUGGCAUCUCAAUUUUCCUCCGACCGUUACAAGUGAAAACACGCGCUGUCAUAAUUGAACUGCGUUCUGGAAGUUUAUAUAGGCUACACAACAUUUGCUGUAUAGUUGAAAUAAAUGAAAUGUAUAACUUCAUGAAAAAUACUCUCUUUCUCCAGGGGUAUACUGAUUUUGUAGGGUUGAAUAAGCGAUUGUGUAUUCCAUUGGUUUUGCUUUUAUGCGCAUUCAUAGUAGACAAAUCAUACAAAUUGGGAAUACAAAUCUGACAGGCAUCUUUGCUGCAUCUGAACAAAAUCGGAGUCUUAGUGGUUAAGUUUGCCAACACAGCCCGAAGCAUCCUUUAAAUAUCCAAAUCAACAAAUAAUGUUUUUUAAUUCCUUGUAAAAAAAAACCAAAACACUAGCUCGUAUUUUAUAGGGAAAAAAAGCGGUUCGGAAUAACUUUUAAACAAUGGCGUACUACAAAACUAUAGCUCAGUUUUGCGGAAGUGACGUUAACGUGACUGGGUUAAAGUUGAUCCUAACCCUACGUACUUCCUUUCCUGUUAGCGGCGGUAGCUGAAUAGCAGCAAAAUGGGCAAGUUCAUGAAGCCUGGGAAGGUGGUGAUGGUGCUAGCUGGACGCUACGCCGGGCGCAAAGCAGUUAUCGUCAAG
Molecule: long non-coding RNA, 740 nt
Organism: Cynoglossus semilaevis (tongue sole)
Lineage: Eukaryota; Metazoa; Chordata; Actinopteri; Pleuronectiformes; Cynoglossidae
Exons: 3
Source: RefSeq, a predicted model, not a curated record